RNAcentral lists this ribosomal RNA (464 nucleotides) under uncultured bacterium. Its description in RNAcentral is "partial 16S ribosomal RNA". It matches the Rfam family "Bacterial small subunit ribosomal RNA", at positions 330 to 794 of the family's 1533-position model. The record is from RNAcentral.
CCCAGACUCCUACGGGAGGCAGCAGUGGGGGAUAUUGCACAAUGGGGGAAACCCUGAUGCAGCGACGCCGCGUGGGCGAAGAAGUAUUUCGGUACGUAAAGCUCUAUCAGCAGGGAAGAAAAAAAGUCCUUUGGACUUUGGACGGUACCUGACCAGGAAGCCCCGGCUAACUACGUGCCAGCAGCCGCGGUAAUACGUAGGGGGCAAGCGUUAUCCGGAUUUACUGGGUGUAAAGGGAGCGUAGACGGCAGCGCAAGUCUGGAGUGAAAUGCCGGGGCCCAACCCCGGAACUGCUUUGGAAACUGUGCAGCUGGAGUGCAGGAGAGGUAAGCGGAAUUCCUAGUGUAGCGGUGAAAUGCGUAGAUAUUAGGAAGAACACCAGUGGCGAAGGCGGCUUUCUGGACUGAAACUGACGCUGAGGCACGAAAGCGUGGGGAGCGAACAGGAUUAGAUACCCGCGUAAU